RNAcentral lists this ribosomal RNA (482 nucleotides) under uncultured bacterium. Its description in RNAcentral is "partial 16S ribosomal RNA". It matches the Rfam family "Bacterial small subunit ribosomal RNA", at positions 28 to 523 of the family's 1533-position model. The record is from RNAcentral.
GACGAACGCUGGCGGCGUGCUUAACACAUGCAAGUCGAACGGUGAAGUAGAGCUUGCUCUAUGGAUCAGUGGCGAACGGGUGAGUAACACGUGGGCAACCUGCCCCAGACUCUGGGAUAACUCCUCGAAAGAGGGGCUAAUACCGGAUAUUUGCAUUGCAAGACGUCUUGUGAUGCAGAAAGAAUUUCGGUCUGGGAUGGGCCCGCGGCCUAUCAGCUUGUUGGCGAGGUAACGGCUCACCAAGGCGACGACGGGUAGCCGGCCUGAGAGGGCGACCGGCCACACUGGGACUGAGACACGGCCCAGACUCCUACGGGAGGCAGCAGUGGGGAAUAUUGGGCAAUGGGCGCAAGCCUGACCCAGCAACGCCGCGUGAGGGAUGAAGGUCCUCGGAUUGUAAACCUCUUUCAGCAGGGACGAAGCGAAAGUGACGGUACCUGCAGAAGAAGCACCGGCUAACUACGUGCCAGCCGCCGCGGUAA